Molecule: ribosomal RNA, 301 nt
Filed under: uncultured bacterium
Lineage: Bacteria
Description: partial 16S ribosomal RNA
Rfam family: Bacterial small subunit ribosomal RNA
Source: RNAcentral
CAGUACCGCGGUAACACGAAGGGGGCUAGCGUUGCUCGGAAUCACUGGACGUAAAGGGUGCGUAGGCGAGUCUUUUAGUCAGGGGUGAAAUCCUGGAGCUCAACUCCAGAACUGCCUUUGAUACUGAAGAUCUUGAGUUCGGGAGAGGUGAGUGGAACUGCGAGUGUAGAGGUGAAAUUCGUAGAUAUUCGCAAGAACACCAACGACGAAAGCACUCUGCUGGGUCGACACUGACACUGAGAGACAAAAGCUAGGGGAGCAAAUGGGAUUAGAUACCCCAGUAGUCCCUGUCUCUUAUACA